RNAcentral lists this ribosomal RNA (253 nucleotides) under uncultured bacterium. Its description in RNAcentral is "partial 16S ribosomal RNA". It matches the Rfam family "Bacterial small subunit ribosomal RNA", at positions 524 to 776 of the family's 1533-position model. The record is from RNAcentral.
UACGAAGGGGGCUAGCGUUGUUCGGAAUCACUGGGCGUAAAGGGCGCGUAGGCGGCCUGAUAAGUCGGGGGUGAAAGCCUGUGGCUCAACCACAGAAUUGCCUUCGAUACUGUUUGGCUUGAGACCGGAAGAGGUCAGUGGAACUGCGAGUGUAGAGGUGAAAUUCGUAGAUAUUCGCAAGAACACCAGUGGCGAAGGCGGCUGACUGGUCCGGUUCUGACGCUGAGGCGCGAAAGCGUGGGGAGCAAACAGG